AAACCAGCACCUCAAGUGGUCAGGAGGAUUAUUGGGCCUAAAGCAUCCGUAGCCUGCUGCAUAAGUUUUCGGUUAAAUCCAUACGCUCAACGUAUGGGCUGCCGGGAAUACUGUGCAGCUAGGGAGUGGGAGAGGUAGACGGUACUCGGUAGGAAGGGGUAAAAUCCUUUGAUCUAUUGAUGACCACCUGUGGCGAAGGCGGUCUACCAGAACACGUUCGAUGGUGAGGGAUGAAAGCUGGGGGAGCAAACCGGAUUAGAAACCCGGGUAGUCC
RNAcentral lists this ribosomal RNA (274 nucleotides) under uncultured bacterium. RNAcentral describes it as "partial 16S ribosomal RNA". It matches the Rfam family "Archaeal small subunit ribosomal RNA", at positions 473 to 747 of the family's 1478-position model. The record is from RNAcentral.